Molecule: long non-coding RNA, 270 nt
Filed under: Elaeis guineensis (African oil palm)
Lineage: Eukaryota; Viridiplantae; Streptophyta; Magnoliopsida; Arecales; Arecaceae
Description: long non-coding RNA (EGUI_LNC034423)
Source: RNAcentral
AGGGACAAAUGCCAAAAUCUACCUAUUGGAACUGGAUCGUUGGAAUACAAUCUCCUCAAAAGGUCCUCGUGGAGAAGCUCAAAAUAUGGUGAAACCUUAAGCUACUUCAACUCUUCCACUACUGCCUUCUCUAUCUCUGUCACCCCAGGAAGAUCUAGGAGCACAGACUUCAUUGGCGUACUCCACUUAGUCGCAAAUCCCCAUGAGGUCGAGGAUGAUAUAAAGAAAAAUUGACUCUUUCAGUUAUGGAUGGAAAAGGAAUGGAAAGAA